Molecule: long non-coding RNA, 669 nt
Organism: Bubalus bubalis (water buffalo)
Lineage: Eukaryota; Metazoa; Chordata; Mammalia; Artiodactyla; Bovidae
Exons: 2
Source: RefSeq, a predicted model, not a curated record
AGAGAAGCCUGGUGGGCUACAGUCCGUAGGUUCACACACAGCUGGACACAACUGAAGUGACUGAGCAUGCGUGUGCCCGAGGUUAAGUACAUGGAGAUGAGGAGAGAGUGUUGAAUUAUCCAGGUGGGCCCAAUUUAAUCACUUGAGUCCUUCAAAAUGGAGACCUUUGUCUAUGGUUAGAGAGAAGGAGGAAAGGUCUGCUGCAUGAAACAGGGAGGCCACCAGACAAGGACUGUGGGCAACCACUUUAGCCGAAUGAGACCCAGUUCAGACUUAUGAACUACAGAAAAGUAAGAACAAAUCUGUGCCUUCUUGAGCCGACAAGUUUGUAAUAAUUUGUAUGGUGGCUACAGGAGGCAAAUGUAUUCAACCUAUACCCCAUGAUCAUUUCCAGGUGUUGCACAUCUCAGCUUGGACUAGCCCCAUUUCAAAUGCUCAGCAGCCGCAUGUGGCUCGUGUCUAUCGUUUGUACGUGGGGCCUCUAACCUGUGAAGCAAGGAGAAGGCUAAACAACUGAGUAGAAGGAAGACACAUAUGAUGUUAACUUUAUGUGCCAACUUGGCUGGCUCACAAUGCCCAGAUAUUUGUUUAAAUGUUAUUCUGGAUAUUUCUGUGAAGAUAUUUUAGGAACAAGAUUAACAUUUAAAUCAAUGGACUUUAAGUAAAGCA